RNAcentral lists this transfer RNA (72 nucleotides) under Eubacterium sp. RNAcentral describes it as "tRNA-Glu". It matches the Rfam family "tRNA". Rfam says of the family: Transfer RNA (tRNA) molecules are approximately 80 nucleotides in length. Their secondary structure includes four short double-helical elements and three loops (D, anti-codon, and T loops). The record is from RNAcentral. Lineage: Bacteria; Bacillati; Bacillota; Clostridia; Eubacteriales; Eubacteriaceae. RNAcentral also lists the same sequence under 11 other names.
GGUCCGUUGGUCAAGCGGUUAAGACGCCGCCCUCUCACGGCGGAAACAGGGGUUCGAUUCCCCUACGGACUG